This 500-nucleotide ribosomal RNA is filed under the name uncultured bacterium. Its description in RNAcentral is "partial 16S ribosomal RNA". It matches the Rfam family "Bacterial small subunit ribosomal RNA", at positions 29 to 523 of the family's 1533-position model. The record is from RNAcentral.
AUUGAACGCUGGCGGCAUGCCUUACACAUGCAAGUCGAACGGCAGCACGGGAGCAAUCCUGGUGGCGAGUGGCGAACGGGUGAGUAAUAUAUCGGAACGUGCCCAGUCGGGGGGGAUAACGCAGCGAAAGCUGUGCUAAUACCGCAUACGAUCUAAGGAUGAAAGCGGGGGAUCGCAAGACCUCGCGCGAUUGGAGCGGCCGAUAUCAGAUUAGCUAGGUGGUGGGGUAAAGGCCCUCCAAGGCGACGAUCUGUAGCUGGUCUGAGAGGACGACCAGCCACACUGGAACUGAGACACGGUCCAGACUCCUACGGGAGGCAGCAGUGGGGAAUUUUGGACAAUGGGCGCAAGCCUGAUCCAGCAAUGCCGCGUGCAGGAUGAAGGCCUUCGGGUUGUAAACUGCUUUUGUACGGAACGAAACGGCCCUUUCUAAUACAGGGGGCUAAUGACGGUACCGUAAGAAUAAGCACCGGCUAACUACGUGCCAGCCGCCGCGGUAA